AUGCAUGAAGGUACUGACUCCGUCAAGAAAUCCAAGUUGGAUGUGCUCCAAAGUCAGCUUGACAAGUUCAAAAUGAAGGAUGGUGAAGGUGUCACUGAAAUGUACUCUAGGCUUGCACUUAUCACAAAUGAGAUUGCCGGCUUAGGGAGUGAAGAGAUGACCGACAGAUUCAUCAUCAAGAAGAUCCUAAGAGCAUUGGAUGGAAAGUAUGAUACCGUGUGCACAUUAAUCCAAAUGAUGCCAAACUACAAAGAUCUCAAGCCAACGGAAGUCAUUGGAAGAAUUGUUGCUCAUGAGAUGUCACUCAAGGAUAAGGAGGAACUUCACAACAAGUCAAGUGGUGCUUACAAAGCCUCAAGUGAAGCCCCCACAUCGUCAAGUGAGAAACAAACCUUCAAUGAAGAAUUGAGCUUAAUUUUGAAUAACUUCAACAAAUUCUACAAGAGUAGAAGCAAAGAAAGAAGCUCCAAGUCAAGGUCUUAUAAUGACAAGAGAUCUUCUAGUUGA
This 507-nucleotide ribosomal RNA is filed under the name Triticum aestivum (bread wheat). RNAcentral's name for it is "partial small subunit ribosomal RNA". Lineage: Eukaryota; Viridiplantae; Streptophyta; Magnoliopsida; Poales; Poaceae. The record is from RNAcentral.